Molecule: ribosomal RNA, 501 nt
Filed under: uncultured Bacillota bacterium
Lineage: Bacteria; Bacillati; Bacillota
Description: bacterial SSU rRNA
Rfam family: Bacterial small subunit ribosomal RNA
Source: RNAcentral
UAGGGAAUCUUCCGCAAUGGACGCAAGUCUGACGGAGCAACGCCGCGUGAGUGAUGAAGGUUUUCGGAUCGUAAAGCUCUGUUGCCCUAGACGAACAGCAUCAGGAGUAACUGCCUGGUGUGUGACGGUAUAGGAGAAGAAAGCCCCGGCUAACUACGUGCCAGCAGCCGCGGUAAUACGUAGGGGGCAAGCGUUGUCCGGAAUUAUUGGGCGUAAAGCGCGCGCAGGCGGUUAAUUAAGUUGGGUGUUUAAGCCCGGGGCUCAACCCCGGUUCGCAUCCAAAACUGGUUGACUUGAGUGUAGGAGAGGAAAGUGGAAUUCCACGUGUAGCGGUGAAAUGCGUAGAGUUGUGGAGGAACACCAGUGGCGAAGGCGACUUUCUGGCCUAUAACUGACGCUGAGGCGCGAAAGCGUGGGGGGCGAAACAGGAUUAGAUACCCUGGUAGUCCACGCCGUAAACGAUGCAUACUAGGUGUUGGGGAUUCGGAUACCUCGGUGCCG